This 497-nucleotide ribosomal RNA is filed under the name uncultured bacterium. Its description in RNAcentral is "partial 16S ribosomal RNA". It matches the Rfam family "Bacterial small subunit ribosomal RNA", at positions 28 to 507 of the family's 1533-position model. The record is from RNAcentral.
GAUGAACGCUGGCGGCGUGCCUAAUACAUGCAAGUCGAGCGAACAGACGAUGAGCUUGCUCCUCUGACGUUAGCGGCGGACGGGUGAGUAACACGUGUAUAACCUACCUAUAAGACUGGGAUAACUUCGGGAAACCGGAACUAAUACCGGAUAAUAUAUUGAACCGCAUGGUUCAAUAGUGAAAUACGGUUUUGCUGUCACUUAUAGAUGGAUCCGCGCCGGAUUAGCUAGUUGGUAAGGUAACGGCUUACCAAGGCAACGAUGCGUAGCCGACCUGAGAGGGUGAUCGGCCACACUGGAACUGAGACACGGUACAGAGUCCUACGGGAGGCAGCAGUAGGGAAUCUUCCGCAAUGGGCGGAAGCCUGACGGAGCAACGCCGCGUGAGUGAUGAAGGUCUUCGGAUCGUAAAACUCUGUUAUUAGGGAAGAACACAUGUGUAAGUAACUAUGCACGUCUUGACGGUACCUGAUCAGAAAGCCACGGCUAACUACGUG